This 300-nucleotide unclassified non-coding RNA is filed under the name uncultured Talaromyces. RNAcentral describes it as "sequence contains 5.8S rRNA gene, ITS2". The stretch from base 1 to 73 matches the Rfam family "5.8S ribosomal RNA", at positions 82 to 154 of the family's 154-position model. Lineage: Eukaryota; Fungi; Ascomycota; Eurotiomycetes; Eurotiales; Trichocomaceae. The record is from RNAcentral.
GGGUGAGUCAUCGAAUCUUUGAACGCACAUUGCGCCCCCUGGCAUUCCGGGGGGCAUGCCUGUCCGAGCGUCAUUUCUGCCCUCAAGCACGGCUUGUGUGUUGGGUGUGGUCCCCUCCCUGGCGGGGGGACCUGCCCGAAAGGCAGCGGCGACGUCGCGUCCGGUCCUCGAGCGUAUGGGGCUUUGUCACUCGCUCGGGAAGGACCUGCGCACGUCUGUCACAACUGUAUUUUUUACCACGGUUGACCUCGGAUCAGGUAGGAGUUACCCGCUGAACUUAAGCAUAUCAAUAAGCGGAGG